This 591-nucleotide ribosomal RNA is filed under the name Entoloma alboumbonatum. RNAcentral describes it as "partial small subunit ribosomal RNA". It matches the Rfam family "Bacterial small subunit ribosomal RNA", at positions 369 to 943 of the family's 1533-position model. Lineage: Eukaryota; Fungi; Basidiomycota; Agaricomycetes; Agaricales; Entolomataceae. The record is from RNAcentral.
CAAUGCUCGCAAGAGUGAACUAGCUAACUGAAAUCACAGGAUCCACUACGUGUGGUGAAUGUUAUAACGUAAGGGAAAAAAAUGAUAUUACCUUACUAUUAGUGUUGUCCAAAACUGGUGCCAGAAGACUCGGUAAGGCCAGAGACGCAAACGUUAGUCGUCCUAAUCAGGCGUAAAGGGUAUGUAGGCUGCUUUAAAAGUUUAGUUUUAUAUUUUAAUAGCUCAGUUUAAAUAUAUUGAAAUAUCAAUAUCUUAAACAGUAAAAUAUACAAUGAAUUAAAGCUAGGAUCAAAUUGAGGAUAAUUUAAAUAAUACUUAGUGUAGGGUUUACAUCUGGUGAUACUAAGGGGAGUACUAACGGUGAAAGCUUUUUAUCUAGAAAUGAUUGACGCUGAGAAACGAAGGUGAGAAUAGGAAAUAGGAUUAGAUACCCAGAUACCUCUCACAGUCAACGAUGAAUGGUGGUUGUUAGUUAGUUUUAUUUAACUGAUAACGAUGUUAACACGAUAACCWUUCCGCCUUGCGAGUACGGUUGCAAAACUGAAACCAAAAAAAUUAKUCGGUCUCGAAGCAAACGAAGUGAAGCAUGUA